UGUUUGGUCUCUUGGAAAGAGUUCGAUCUUUACUUGGGUUUCUUUUAAGAUAACAGUUGUCAUUAGUAUUAAGAUUGGCCCCUUUGCAAUGCUAAAUGAAUUGCCCCAGUUAAAUUUUAGACCCAGAGCUGUUCUGGCUUUAAGUGGCUAAUGAUGGAGUGAUAUCAGUCAGGUUGGAGCAAUUUGUGUUUGAUGUUUUGAGGAUUGUUUAAUAUUUUUGGCAAUUGCAA
This 230-nucleotide unclassified non-coding RNA is filed under the name Hevea brasiliensis (rubber tree). The record is from RNAcentral. Lineage: Eukaryota; Viridiplantae; Streptophyta; Magnoliopsida; Malpighiales; Euphorbiaceae.